AUGCAUCUGCCCAGAUCAAGCAAAGGAGAUCCAGAGGAACAAAGGGCCAAGGGAAAAUUCCAGAGCUGGAGAAGGUCAGGGCUCCUGGGUUGGGGAGGGGAGGACCUAGGGGAUACAGCCUCCGGAAUCUGUGCCCAGCUGUGCCUGACACCAAGCUUACUCAGUAUCUCCUCUCUUGCAGCCAGUGCCACCGCCCCAUCUGUCUUCCCAUUGGCCCCCAGCUGCGGGGUCAGAUCUACCUCAACCGUGUCCCUGGGCUGCCUGGUCAGUGGCUACAUCCCUGAACCAGUGACCGUGUCAUGGAACUCUGGAGCCUUGUCCAGCGGUGUGCAGACCUUCCCAUCAGUCCUGAAGGCAGGCCUCUACUCCCUCAGCAGCUUGGUGACUGUGCCUUCCAGCAGCUGGCCCAGCCAGACCAUCACCUGCAAUGUAGCCCACCCACCCACCAACACCAAGGUGGACAAGACCAUUGUGCCCAGAAGCACAACCCCCCCCAAAGAAUGUCCAAAGUGCCCAGCUCCUCAACUCCUUGGGGGACCAUCUGUAUUCAUCUUCCCCCCGAAGCCCAAGGACACACUCUCAAUCUCCCAGACCCCCAAGGUCACCUGUGUGGUGGUGGAUGUGAGUCAUGAUGACCCUGAGGUCAAGUUCAGCUGGUACAUGGACAACGUGCAGUUAUACACAGCCCAGACACAGCCAAAGGAAGAGCAGUACAACAGCACAUUCCGUGUGGUCAGUGUCCUCCCCAUACAGCACCAGGACUGGCUGUCAGGAAAAGAGUUCAAGUGCAAGGUCAACAACAAAGCCCUUCCAGCCCCCAUUGAGAAAACCAUCUCCAAAGUCAAAGGGCAACCCAGGGAGCCACAAGUGUACACCUUGCCUCCACCCCUGGAAGAAAUGAGCAAGGACAAAGUCAGUUUGACUUGCAUGGUCACUGGCUUCUACCCUGGGGACAUCUUUGUGGAGUGGGAGAAGAAUGGGAAGCCAGAGGAGAACUACAAGAAUACCGAACCCAUCCUGGAUUCUGAUGGGACCUACUUCCUCUACAGCAAGCUCACAGUGAAUAAGGACAAGUGGCAGAGAGGAGAGACGUUCACCUGCUCUGUGAUGCACGAAGCCCUGCACAACCACUUCACACAGAAGAGCCUCUCCCGGUCUCCGGAGAUGGACCUGUACGAGACCUGUGCCGAGGCCCAGGAUGGGGAGCUGGACGGGCUGUGGACGACCAUCACCAUCUUCAUCACCCUCUUCCUGCUCAGCGUGUGCUACAGUGCCACUGUCACACUCUUCAAGGUGAAGUGGAUCUUCUCCUCAGUGGUGGAGCUGAAGCAAACGAUCGCCCCUGACUACAGGAAUAUGAUCGGGCAGGGGGCCUAGGACCACCUCCUUCAAGAGCCCAGGACUUCCCAGAAACCCUGUGGAUCCUGUCCAUCAUGUCAAGCAGCCUCACAGCCAGGCCACACCUGCCUCUGACCUCACCACCCUCUGACUCUACAACUUACUGACACUGAGCCCCUGUCCCUUUCCCUGUGGAGGAACAUGCAGAUAGCAGGCUCUGCCUCCUGAUCUCAACUGGAUAUGCACUGUCCCUCCACAGCAGUUAUCAGGACACAGGCUGGGGUCAGCACGGGUCAUGUAUCCCCUCACUGAGACAUCUCUGCCCUCAGGGCUUCAGGACAUUCAACCUGGAGGAGAUGGAGGCAAGCAUUGUCCAUGUCGUCUGCACAGGAGACAACUUCAUCCACACCAGCCUCCUGACCUCAGGGUUUUUCUGAGAGAAUCCCAAGUAUUGAGAUCUUUGUGUAGAGACAUUUGCCACAAGCACGGGAAGCAGAGGGCCAUCACACCCCAAAGGGGAGCUUUGGGACAGGCUGCUCAUUGUCACACUGAUGGCCUUCACCCUGCCCCAUGCCCAGCCAAGUGCCAUCCUAGCACUUCUGGAAACCCCAGCCUAAGCAAUGGGCCUGUGUUUCUUGGGCUCGUGGGAAAGAGCCUGCAUGUGAUGGGACUCCAUGUACUUCUUUUUCUUGCUGGAUACUGAGAGAUAGUAUUCAACUCAAUGACGCAGGCAACCCCACCCUCUGAGGACCAGGACACUUCCACUGCCCCCAGGUUCCCAGCUCAACUCCACAGAGAGCACUCAGAAGAGGGCCUGGGCCACAUGCACAGCAAGGGAGCCCAAGCAGGUGCAAAGUCAGAGACCACCUGAGGAAGUGGUGGGUGUCCACCCGAUGGACCUCUUGGUGAGGGUACUGAUGAGCAAACAGUCCCAUUACUAUAACCAAGUAUUGGUUACUCGAGAUAGUUGUCAAUUCUUUGGGAUAUUAUACAUAGAAAUCAUGUAGAAAUCAUGAGAGCAAUGGCGCAUUAUUAUUCCUGCCUAAUCUACAUACCUCUUACCUCAUUCUCUUAUCUUAGUGCAUGAGCUAGACCUUCCAGUAUGCUGUGGUGCAGUAGUAGUGUUAAAGGGACAAGGUCACUUUGGCCCUGACCUUAGGGAGAAAGCAUGCUGUGUCCCAUAUUAACUAUGAUGUCAGCUGUAGGCUUUGUAAAUAUCCAUUGUCAAUCUGAGGAUAUUCUCCGCUACUCAAAGCUUGCUGAAUUGUUCAUGAUAAAGAGUGUUGGAUCUUAUCAGAUGUGUUUUCUUCAUCUAUUGAUAUGACCACAUGGUCAUGUGGUCAUAAUUAUGUAUUAGCUUACACAUGUGUGGAGUUGUAUUAAUUGAUUUGGAAGGAUUGGAUUUUCAUCUUUGUUUAUUGUUAUUUAUGUUUGCACUGCUGCGGAUCAAACCCAGGGC
This is a non-coding RNA of Castor canadensis (American beaver), 2797 nucleotides long. The record is from the annotation of a RefSeq genome assembly. NCBI's taxonomy places the organism in Eukaryota, Metazoa, Chordata, Mammalia, Rodentia, Castoridae.